Long non-coding RNA from Sapajus apella (tufted capuchin), 2676 nucleotides. RefSeq lists it as uncharacterized. Lineage: Eukaryota; Metazoa; Chordata; Mammalia; Primates; Cebidae. The transcript has 4 exons. The record is from RefSeq and is a predicted model, not a curated record.
UCCCCAUUCAGAACCACUAUGGGGCAGCUGCCCAGGCGGAUCUGGAAGACUUCGCCAUAGCGCCGCGCCAGGCGCGCAAACGAGAGGCUAUCUUUGUCAAGUUUUGGUAUUGAUCUUAUGGGUCAGUUCCUGAGAAGGAGAGAAAUCCUUGAGUUGUUGGGUAAAUGUGGUUCAAGUAAGAUGCUGAACAGUGCCGGCCACGUAGACUCUGCCACAGUGAAGGAGGAAGGUUCUCAUUGCUAAGGCUUAUUUUGAGGCUUAGUGACCAUCUCAUUCCUACUGCUGGCCCACAGUAGGGAAUCAGACCUUUAGCAGACACAGAGUUCUUCAAAUACACAGUGAACUUGGGACAGCUAAUCAUCUGGGUCAAGAUGAACACUCCACGAGGAACAGCACAGAAUAUACCCAAACUGAGAGGCACAGGCAGCACUGACGAGUGAGGGAACAUGUGGGAGCAUCAGAAGCUUGGUCCUGAUUUUGUCAUUAACCAGUACCUUGAUGACUUCCAGGGAGUCCCCAAACCCUGGGUUUCUGUUUUCUUAACUCUAACAUGAGGGGCUAGACUUAUCUGGUUUAGUUUGUCUCCAUGAUGGUUUAGUUCAUCUCCAUGAUUCUGUGAAUUUCAGAUGUUGAAAAUCUUCAGAACAGCCCUGAAAGAUGAGCAGGCAGGAGUUAUUGUCUAUAUUUUAUCUAUGAGGAAACUAAGGACCCGGAAAUUUAAAGGGCUGAUUAGCUUUUGAACCAGUAUCAGAAAUGAGUUCAUCUGAAUUCUAGUCCCAAACUCGUAGCAUGAGAGAAAUGUGGACCUUUUGUUCCAGGAGUUUAUCAUCUAGCUGGUAUUAAGCUGGGACAGGAUUAAGGCAAGAUUACAGGUUCUUGAGAAACAUAAGCAACAGAGACAAGAACAUCAGAAAGAGCUGGUGCAACUUGGGUCAUGUCUGCUGAUGGAGGUGGUAUCAGGAGAGGUUGUUUGCUGAGAAGUUUGCAUUCCCUAGAGCCCAAGUGGGUGUUGCCAGGAAACCCUGAGUUUUCCAACUUGGCAAUCAGUGCACAACUGAGUUAUUAUAGGAAAUUGCCCAGCUCUUUGGCAAUUUUAUGUGGUAUAAAUAUGGUUUUGAAAUUCUAUAUCUUAGCUUAGCAAAAGGCGGAAACAUUUUGGAACUCAUGGAUUUGGGAGAUCUGCUGCCAUUGCUAUUAUAAUUACUUUUAGCAUAAUUGUACACUAUGAAUUAAAUUUCUCAAAAAGAUUCAAUUUUCUAAUCUUUGAGACUUCUUAAAAAGGAAUGAACCCCAGGUAGAGUGAAAGUGGAUUUCAAAAAAGCAGUUUAUUCUGAAUGAAAAAAGAAUCAUUCUUGGCUCUGCAUCUAACAAACUGGCUGUGUGUCCCCAGACAAUAAACUUAAUGUCUCAGAUCCUCAACUUCAACUGCAAAUAAAGGGGUUAGAGGAGAUCAUCUUUAAAGCCCAACUCAGCUCUAACAUACUAUGAUUGGAUACCAUAUGCUUGUCUACAUUCUUUUCUCUAACUCUUGGGGAUUGCUGCUCUUCCAGCCUUUACAAAUAUAACCUUUCAUUGUCACACUCAUUCUUCCUUGUCCUAAAAACAGGCCCAGGCAUAGUCUGGUGCCACUCCUGAGAGCUAUAGCAGGUGGCACCUAGUGUCUCUACAGUAACUAUCUACUCUCCUAGGGAAAGUUAUCUCACAGAAGCAUAGAGAGCCUGACCUCACCUAGAAAGACAAUAAGGUAUAAUGAUUGAAAGCAUAGGCUCUAAAUUCAGGCAGACCUGGAUGAAUCUACCACCUACUAGAGACCUUGGGCAGGCAAGUUUGCCAUGCCUGGUACCUAGUGAGUGUUGUGGGCCUCUAUUCUGGAGGGAUGGCAGGGCCUUAUGAAACCAGCAUGAGAUGGUAAAUGCUUUGCAGGCUGGAUUUUUAACAGGAAAUGCCACCCCCGUUUUCUCGAACAUCUCUGGCAAAAUUGCUAACCCAAAGGUACCAGGCCCAGCUAGUCAUGAAGGGGAGAGAAGUCAUCUCUAUCCAAGGGAAAAACAUUUGAUGUUUAAAGAAGGGGUUUAAAUUGUUAUGAAGGAAUAGAGGGAAAGAAGAGGCAAAGACAGAAGGGGGUGGAUGAGAAUAAAGAACAAGAGAAGAAGCAGUAGGAGACAAACGAGAAGGUUAAAGCUAUUAAUUUUCACUUCAUGAUAAAAGGAAUUUCUAAGCAAAUUCUAACCAUUUUAUCAAGAAGAAGAAACAAAUUCACUAACUUAUAUUUCCAUUUAAAGAAAUGCAUGGGCAUUUUCUUUGCAUGUGGAAUUUGAUUAAAAAUUAGGCAUUGAAUGCUUUAUGCUUUUUUAAAAAAAAAAUCUAGAUUGAUUCUGGACAUGCACAUUCCAAUUGAUAAACAGAUCAAAGAGUUUGAUUUUCUUAUUGGCAACUUGGCACCAGUUACCAGUGGCUUCAUAUGAACCUAUCAGCUGCUGUGGGAUGGCAGAGCAGCUAAGAGUCCAAGACUAGUCUACGCAGGCCUGCAGCUGCCACAUUCUGAUGCAUCAAAGCCACAGCAAGUUCCUAAAACAUGGGCUCCGGAUCUAGAUGCUUUCGGUUCAAUUUUUCACUCCAUUAUUUCUUAGAUGGCAAUUAAGACUUAUGACAAUUAGACUUAUGGCAAUUACUUAC